GUGUAGCUCAGCAGUAGAGCACUUGCCUGGCAUGCACGAGGCCUUGGAUUCAAUUCCCAGUAC
This 63-nucleotide transfer RNA is filed under the name Heterocephalus glaber (naked mole-rat). It matches the Rfam family "tRNA", at positions 5 to 66 of the family's 71-position model. From Rfam's summary of the family: Transfer RNA (tRNA) molecules are approximately 80 nucleotides in length. The record is from Rfam by way of RNAcentral. Lineage: Eukaryota; Metazoa; Chordata; Mammalia; Rodentia; Bathyergidae.